This 425-nucleotide ribosomal RNA is filed under the name uncultured Sphingobacteriales bacterium. RNAcentral describes it as "bacterial SSU rRNA". It matches the Rfam family "Bacterial small subunit ribosomal RNA", at positions 955 to 1382 of the family's 1533-position model. Lineage: Bacteria; Pseudomonadati; Bacteroidota; Sphingobacteriia; Sphingobacteriales. The record is from RNAcentral.
UGAUACGCGAGGAACCUUACCUGGGCUCAAAUGUAUGUUGACGUAUUCUGAAAGGGAUACUUCUUCGGACAAUAUACAAGGUGCUGCAUGGUUGUCGUCAGCUCGUGCCGUGAGGUGUCGGGUUAAGUCCCAUAACGAGCGCAACCCCUAUCAUUAGUUGCCAUCAGGUCAAGCUGGGGACUCUAAUGAAACUGCCUACGCAAGUAGUGAGGAAGGUGGGGAUGACGUCAAGUCCUCAUGGCCUUUAUGACCAGGGCUACACACGUACUACAAUGGCCGAUACAAAGGGCAGCGACACUGCGAGGUGAAGCCAAUCCCGUAAAAUCGGUCUCAGUCCGGAUUGGAGUCUGCAACUCGACUCCAUGAAGUUGGAAUCGCUAGUAAUCGUGGAUCAGCAUGCCACGGUGAAUACGUUCCCGGGCCUU